UCAAUUUAUAUUCUAUGAGAAGUUGUCGUUUUCGUAAAUUUACGUCGAACGCUUCAAUGUCCUAAUUUGUGAGAAUUUGUAUCCGUUGCAGACGGUGGCCCGUUGUCUCGCUGUGGCUCUGAUAAAUUUCGAAUCGAUUACGUUUCGAAGACCUUCGGAGGCCGUGGUGAAAUUAAUAUUUUCCCACUGUGGAGCGUAUACAGCCAUUCGUGAUAUCUUGGCGUCGCGCCAAUGUAAACUUCCAGCCAGACGAUAAUUCCAGGUUAAUUGAAGAGCUUAGAGCUCGGAUUAUGUUUGCCAUAAGCGCGAACGUUGUGGCCUUCCCGUCGCUCUUAAUUCUCGAAGACGCCAGGGAAGUUUCCGCUGCGAGACGCGACGUCAAUCCAAUAUGGCCGUUUGAGACGCGGCUCCUCGUAGUUCCUGGGGAAACCGCCUCUCGAAUUGGGCCACCCUGUGGAUCACGGAUCAUUCUAUCUCACUCUGUUCCAUCGACAACCUCUUUAAUCAUCGGGGAUGAAUAAAUUAUGGAAAUUGUGUAUACAUGAGAUAACACGUCAACCGUUAUCUAUACUGAUACGUAACCGGAUGGUCUGACCUGGUUGGUGGCUGGCAACAAAAUGGAAAUGAGGUCAAGGAAAAAGUUAAUUAACAGAAACUUGAAUUCCUGGAUGCUGGGAGAAGAAUGGAGCCGCAUAGGCUAUUAUGUAUCUGACUAGGUGCAUUUAUACAGUCACAGGCAGUAUGGAUAUUGGAGUAGCAGACGAAAGGGUUGAAGGGGCAGCAAAUGUUACAUGGAGAAGACCAAUUUCAUCAACGGCAAGAUGUGUAGAAUAACAGCGAGAAUCCACCCCAGGAAAAAUUAUUAUUAGAAAGAAGAUACGACCCCGUCCUCUCACGGUUACCUUGCUGCUCGCCACGAUGGAAUAAAACCACAGGAUGCAUCAUUUUUCAACGAAUUUUUCGACUGGCUGUACGUGUCCGCGAGGAGACACGCUGCGCGACAAAGAAAAUAAGAGAAGGAAAUUUUAUCCGAAAAUAAAGAGACAAAAAGGAGAGGAACCCUUUGGUGGUACAUUAAUCGAGGCAAAUCUCAUCGACGUCAUGCCACGUUGGAUGAAAAUGCAAUCGGCAGCUUGGCGGAGAAGGAAAAAUGAAACGCAUGAUAAUAAAGAAAAAAAAAAAGAAGAAAAAAGAUCGAAAAAGUGGAGUAGACGGCAAAAAUAGUGCAAAGAAAUUUUUCACCUCUCUACGCUCGUUUUGCGCGAACCACACAUAAAUAUGCAUGACGCGAACGUGGGUGUCCGUUUGCGAGCUUCAUGAAUUUCUCUCUGUGUUAUUACUUUUAAUAUAAAACUCGUAAAAGGAGAAAUAGAGCAAAAACAAACGAGCGAUAAACGAUGCAUGGCUACGUAGCAAAAGCAUGUGUGUAUUACACGUAUGCACGUAUGCAUAAAGUUGGGUAUACGAAGGGAAUGAUGAUUCAAGCAAAUAUAACGCUAAUUUACUGUAUGCUCGAAACGGUAGAAGGAAAAAAAAAACAGUGGCCACUUUCUGCAAGGUGCGAAAACAGAUUUCACUAGAAGAAGAAAAAAAAGAUACCAUCUAGGGAUUUUCUAGACGGUACCAAUUUUCCAUCUAUCUCCGAACGACAAUCGUUCCCGGUACCCAGAGGUAUCUCUCCAGGUCAGCGGUGCCUCCGUAUUCAUGCCAGGAAUUUAACUUCCGGUAAAAAGAACGACGUGAACCGGAAUUGACGAGCUUAGAACGAAUUCCGCGGUGUUCGAUGGAGCUUGGAAAAAUGCGUCAAAAUACAACACGAAAAAGUCUGGGAAAAAAUUAAUGUGGCAUCUAAUAAAAGAGCAAACCGGAAACUGGAUAAAAGUUUGGCGAUUCCAGAUGGCGAGAAUGAAACGGCGUGGGGAGGAAACUUUUUAGAAAAUAAGUUUAAAAAACUUCUAUACAAGGCAGAAAGAUUCGAACGAAAUUUGCACUAGAAUUUACAUAUAUGUAUAAGACUUUUAAAACUCCUUUUGUACUUUUUAACGCUUGCGAAAGGAAGUCUUAUUUCACUGGCACUGUUGCUAUAUGUAUAUACAACAUUUCCUGGCGGCAAAUACAAAUUCAACGCGGCAAAUGUCUGACGUAUAAUUCUUGUUAGGAUUAUAGGGGAAUAUCUUGUUAGCAGAUAAGUCUUGCGUAACCCUUGAAGUUAAAAGGUGUGAUACAAAGACGUUAUAUUAUUAUUAUAUAUAUAUAUAUAUAUGACUGUAUAUUAUAUACACGUGUUUUUAUACAAGGGUAGAGUGUACGAAGGUGGGAACCCCUGUCGCCCGACCGUACGGAAUUUCAUUAAUAGCCAUAAACAAAGCGCGAGACGAAUAGCCAAGUUAUCGCGAAUCGUAAGAAAUACAAAAAAAAAUACAUCCGAGCCAUUCGAAGAGCAAGAAUGGUGGGAAACAACAGCCGAGCUGAAAGUCGCGUAAACCCCUUUACCUCGAGAACAAGAGGAGCUCCGUUCGACGUAUUGUUCUCUGUAUCUAACGAGAGCCAACCUUUUGCCGUGCUAAAGGCUCCAUCCAUUAACAAAUAAAGGAAACUUCCUUCACUCACUCUCGCCUACUAUGCAAUAGCCAAAUAUAUAAAUACACGUAUACAACCCCCCAGAAGGUAGACACUGUAUGGUUUUAAAUACAAAGUCGCAAAAAGUACAUCUAACGAACACAAAAGAAAAAAAAUGGUUAUCAAAUCCCAAAAUUCUAUUAUGUUUUUCGAAAAAAAUGCAAACAAUUUUUUUUAUCACGAUUAUUCAUUACAAUAAUAAAAAAGACCCCCGAGGUAUUACGUGAGUCGUGAAUUAAAGGAUUUUUCCAAAAUAUUGUAAUGCCAAGUGAAAUGAAAAUCCAAGACAAAUUACAUGGUUCAUGGGAUAACCAAGGGGGGCUUAUAUUCGUGGGCGGUUGGGA
Cephus cinctus (wheat stem sawfly) is the source of this 2963-nucleotide long non-coding RNA. RefSeq lists it as uncharacterized. NCBI's taxonomy places the organism in Eukaryota, Metazoa, Arthropoda, Insecta, Hymenoptera, Cephidae. The transcript is spliced from 4 exons. The record is from RefSeq and is a predicted model, not a curated record.